RNAcentral lists this long non-coding RNA (1176 nucleotides) under Salmo salar (Atlantic salmon). Its description in RNAcentral is "lncRNA (ENSSSAG00000114909.1)". Lineage: Eukaryota; Metazoa; Chordata; Actinopteri; Salmoniformes; Salmonidae. The record is from RNAcentral.
CGUUGGGGUAAAUCAUGCUGUGUUUAUUGUACGGAGAGAGAAACUCUUCAGAAAUAACACCAAUACAAGAUAUCAGGUGUUUAAAUAUGGACAUAUUGGUCCCAUAGCAUUCACCAGCAACAUGAACAUGUUCAGGACAAUCAGGAAGGUAGAGGACAUGAGCAUGUUCAGGACAAUCAGGAAAAUAAAGGACAUGAGCAUGUUCAGGACAAUCAGGAAGGUAGAGGACAUGAGCAUGUUCAGGACAAUCAGGAAGAUAGGACAUGUUCAGGACAAUCAGGAAGGUAGAGGACAUGAGCAUGUUCAGGACAAUCAGGAAGGUAGAGGACAUGUUCAGGACAAUCAGGAAGGUAGAGGACAUGUUCAGGACAAUCAGGAAGGUAGAGGAGAUGUUCAGGACAAUCAGGAAGGUAGAGGAGAUGUUCAGGACAAUCAGGAAGGGAGAGGACAUGUUCAGGACAAUCAGGAAGGUAGAGGACAUGAACAUGUUCAGGACAAUCAGGAAGGUAGAGGACAUGAACAUGUUCAGGACAAUGAGGAAGGUUGAGGACAUGUUCAGGACAAUCAGGAAGGGAGAGGACAUGUUCAGGACAAUCAGGAAGGUAGAGGACAUGUUCAGGACAAUCAGGAAGGUAGAGGACAUGAGCAUGUUCAGGACAAUCAGGAAGGGAGAGGACAUGUUCAGGACAAUCAGGAAGGUAGAGGAGAUGUUCAGGACAAUCAGGAAGGUAGAGGACAUGAACAUGUUCAGGACAAUCAGGAAGGUAGAGGACAUGUUCAGGACAAUCAGGAAGGUAGAGGACAUGAGCAUGUUCAGGACAAUCAGGAAGGGAGAGGACAUGUUCAGGACAAUCAGGAAGGUAGAGGAGAUGUUCAGGACAAUCAGGAAGGGAGAGGACAUGUUCAGGACAAUCAGGAAGGUAGAGGCUAGAAACAUUUCAAUCAAACAGCCCAGAAACACAAUAUUACACAUUCAGUGUGAAAGUUAGACAUUGUAUAACAUGUAGAACAUUAAAUAAUAAAUAUAGUGUCAAAGCUUUUUACCCUCUAAACUGGACUUGAUGGGAAUGAAGACAGGAGAUAUGAGGGGGGUGAUACUGAUGGGAGAUAUGGGGGGGGUGAUACUGAUGGGAGAUAUGGGGGGGGGUGAUACUGAUGGGAGAUAUGAGGGGGGGG